GACGAACGCUGGCGGCGUGCUUAACACAUGCAAGUCGAACGGAAAGGCCCUGCUUUUGUGGGGUGCUCGAGUGGCGAACGGGUGAGUAACACGUGAGUAACCUGCCCUUGACUUUGGGAUAACUUCAGGAAACUGGGGCUAAUACCGGAUAGGAGCUCCUGCUGCAUGGUGGGGGUUGGAAAGUUUCGGCGGUUGGGGAUGGACUCGCGGCUUAUCAGCUUGUUGGUGGGGUAGUGGCUUACCAAGGCUUUGACGGGUAGCCGGCCUGAGAGGGUGACCGGCCACAUUGGGCCUGAGAUACGGCCCAGACUCCUACGGGAGGCAGCAGUGGGGAAUAUUGCACAAUGGGCGGAAGCCUGAUGCAGCAACGCCGCGUGCGGGAUGACGGCCUUCGGGUUGUAAACCGCUUUCGCCUGUGACGAAGCGUGAGUGACGGUAAUGGGUAAAGCAGCACCGGCUAACUACGUG
This 468-nucleotide ribosomal RNA is filed under the name uncultured bacterium. RNAcentral describes it as "partial 16S ribosomal RNA". It matches the Rfam family "Bacterial small subunit ribosomal RNA", at positions 28 to 507 of the family's 1533-position model. The record is from RNAcentral.